This 253-nucleotide ribosomal RNA is filed under the name uncultured bacterium. RNAcentral describes it as "partial 16S ribosomal RNA". It matches the Rfam family "Bacterial small subunit ribosomal RNA", at positions 524 to 776 of the family's 1533-position model. The record is from RNAcentral.
UACGAAGGGGGCUAGCGGUGCUCGGAAUCACUGGGCGUAAAGCGCACGUAGGCGGAUUGUUAAGUCAGGGGUGAAAUCCUGGAGCUCAACUCCAGAACUGCCUUUGAUACUGGCGAUCUCGAGUCCGGGAGAGGUGAGUGGAACUGCGAGUGUAGAGGUGAAAUUCGUAGAUAUUCGCAAGAACACCAGUGGCGAAGGCGGCUCACUGGCCCGGUACUGACGCUGAGGUGCGAAAGCGUGGGGAGCAAACAGG